GGAUAACUCCGGGAAACCGGGGCUAAUACCGGAUGGUUGUUUGAACCGCAUGGUUCAAACAUAAAAGGUGGCUUCGGCUACCACUUACAGAUGGACCCGCGGCGCAUUAGCUAGUUGGUGAGGUAACGGCUCACCAAGGCGACGAUGCGUAGCCGACCUGAGAGGGUGAUCGGCCACACUGGGACUGAGACACGGCCCAGACUCCUACGGGAGGCAGCAGUAGGGAAUCUUCCGCAAUGGACGAAAGUCUGACGGAGCAACGCCGCGUGAGUGAUGAAGGUUUUCGGAUCGUAAAGCUCUGUUGUUAGGGAAGAACAAGUGCCGUUCGAAUAGGGCGGUACCUUGACGGUACCUAACCAGAAAGCCACGGCUAACUACGUGCCAGCAGCCGCGGUAAUACGUAGGUGGCAAGCGUUGUCCGGAAUUAUUGGGCGUAAAGGGCUCGCAGGCGGUUUCUUAAGUCUGAUGUGAAAGCCCCCGGCUCAACCGGGGAGGGUCAUUGGAAACUGGGGAACUUGAGUGCAGAAGAGGAGAGUGGAAUUCCACGUGUAGCGGUGAAAUGCGUAGAGAUGUGGAGGAACACCAGUGGCGAAGGCGACUCUCUGGUCUGUAACUGACGCUGAGGAGCGAAAGCGUGGGGAGCGAACAGGAUUAGAUACCCUGGUAGUCCACGCCGUAAACGAUGAGUGCUAAGUGUUAGGGGGUUUCCGCCCCUUAGUGCUGCAGCUAACGCAUUAAGCACUCCGCCUGGGGAGUACGGUCGCAAGACUGAAACUCAAAGGAAUUGACGGGGGCCCGCACAAGCGGUGGAGCAUGUGGUUUAAUUCGAAGCAACGCGAAGAACCUUACCAGGUCUUGACAUCCUCUGACAAUCCUAGAGAUAGGACGUCCCCUUCGGGGGCAGAGUGACAGGUGGUGCAUGGUUGUCGUCAGCUCGUGUCGUGAGAUGUUGGGUUAAGUCCCGCAACGAGCGCAACCCUUGAUCUUAGUUGCCAGCAUUCAGUUGGGCACUCUAAGGUGACUGCCGGUGACAAACCGGAGGAAGGUGGGGAUGACGUCAAAUCAUCAUGCCCCUUAUGACCUGGGCUACACACGUGCUACAAUGGACAGAACAAAGGGCAGCGAAACCGCGAGGUUAAGCCAAUCCCACAAAUCUGUUCUCAGUUCG
This 1168-nucleotide ribosomal RNA is filed under the name Bacillus subtilis. RNAcentral describes it as "bacterial SSU rRNA". It matches the Rfam family "Bacterial small subunit ribosomal RNA", at positions 141 to 1295 of the family's 1533-position model. The record is from RNAcentral. Lineage: Bacteria; Bacillati; Bacillota; Bacilli; Caryophanales; Bacillaceae.